This 61-nucleotide transfer RNA is filed under the name Longipodacrangonyx sp. 1 MDMBR-2012. RNAcentral's name for it is "transfer RNA Glutamic acid". The record is from RNAcentral. Lineage: Eukaryota; Metazoa; Arthropoda; Malacostraca; Amphipoda; Metacrangonyctidae.
GUUUUUAUAGUGUAAUUAACAUAUUGUUUUUUCAGGACAAAGAUAUAUUUUAUUAAAAAUA